This 838-nucleotide ribosomal RNA is filed under the name Microbacterium maritypicum. Its description in RNAcentral is "bacterial SSU rRNA". It matches the Rfam family "Bacterial small subunit ribosomal RNA", at positions 42 to 889 of the family's 1533-position model. Lineage: Bacteria; Bacillati; Actinomycetota; Actinomycetes; Micrococcales; Microbacteriaceae. The record is from RNAcentral.
GCGUGCUUAACACAUGCAAGUCGAACGGUGAACACGGAGCUUGCUCUGUGGGAUCAGUGGCGAACGGGUGAGUAACACGUGAGCAACCUGCCCCUGACUCUGGGAUAAGCGCUGGAAACGGCGUCUAAUACUGGAUAUGUGACGUGACCGCAUGGUCUGCGUCUGGAAAGAAUUUCGGUUGGGGAUGGGCUCGCGGCCUAUCAGCUUGUUGGUGAGGUAAUGGCUCACCAAGGCGUCGACGGGUAGCCGGCCUGAGAGGGUGACCGGCCACACUGGGACUGAGACACGGCCCAGACUCCUACGGGAGGCAGCAGUGGGGAAUAUUGCACAAUGGGCGCAAGCCUGAUGCAGCAACGCCGCGUGAGGGACGACGGCCUUCGGGUUGUAAACCUCUUUUAGCAGGGAAGAAGCGAAAGUGACGGUACCUGCAGAAAAAGCGCCGGCUAACUACGUGCCAGCAGCCGCGGUAAUACGUAGGGCGCAAGCGUUAUCCGGAAUUAUUGGGCGUAAAGAGCUCGUAGGCGGUUUGUCGCGUCUGCUGUGAAAUCCGGAGGCUCAACCUCCGGCCUGCAGUGGGUACGGGCAGACUAGAGUGCGGUAGGGGAGAUUGGAAUUCCUGGUGUAGCGGUGGAAUGCGCAGAUAUCAGGAGGAACACCGAUGGCGAAGGCAGAUCUCUGGGCCGUAACUGACGCUGAGGAGCGAAAGGGUGGGGAGCAAACAGGCUUAGAUACCCUGGUAGUCCACCCCGUAAACGUUGGGAACUAGUUGUGGGGUCCAUUCCACGGAUUCCGUGACGCAGCUAACGCAUUAAGUUCCCCGCCUGGGGAGUACGGCCGC